GACGAACGCUGGCGGCGUGCCUAAUACAUGCAAGUUGAGCGCUGAAGGUUGGUACUUGUACCAACUGGAUGAGCAGCGAACGGGUGAGUAACGCGUGGGGAAUCUGCCUUUGAGCGGGGGACAACAUUUGGAAACGAAUGCUAAUACCGCAUAAAAACUUUAAACACAAGUUUUAAGUUUGAAAGAUGCAAUUGCAUCACUCAAAGAUGAUCCCGCGUUGUAUUAGCUAGUUGGUGAGGUAAAGGCUCACCAAGGCGAUGAUACAUAGCCGACCUGAGAGGGUGAUCGGCCACAUUGGGAGUGAGACACGGCCCAAACUCCUACGGGAGGCAGCAGUAGGGAUUCUUCGGCAAUGGACGAAAGUCUGACCGAGCAACGCCGCGGGAGUGAAGAAGGUUUUCGGAUCGUAAAACUCUGUUGGUAGAGAAGAACGUUGGUGAGAGUGGAAAGCUCAUCAAGUGACGGUAACUACCCAGAAAGCGACGGCUAACUACGUG
RNAcentral lists this ribosomal RNA (497 nucleotides) under uncultured bacterium. RNAcentral's name for it is "partial 16S ribosomal RNA". It matches the Rfam family "Bacterial small subunit ribosomal RNA", at positions 28 to 507 of the family's 1533-position model. The record is from RNAcentral.